GUGCUCGCUUCGUCAGCACAUACACUAAAAUUGGAACGAUGCAGAGAUUAGCAUGGCCCCUGCGCAAGGAUGACACGCAAAUCUGUGAAGCCUUCUAUGUUUAA
This is a small nuclear RNA of Jaculus jaculus (lesser Egyptian jerboa), 104 nucleotides long. The record is from RefSeq and is a predicted model, not a curated record. Lineage: Eukaryota; Metazoa; Chordata; Mammalia; Rodentia; Dipodidae.